Long non-coding RNA from Onychostoma macrolepis, 1997 nucleotides. RefSeq lists it as uncharacterized. The transcript is spliced from 3 exons. Lineage: Eukaryota; Metazoa; Chordata; Actinopteri; Cypriniformes; Cyprinidae. The record is from RefSeq and is a predicted model, not a curated record.
CUAUCGCAUACAAUAUAUCGUGCAGCCCUAGCUCAAAACCAGUACAAAUCUGUAAUGGAAACCAUUAAAACUGUGUAAAUUAAAACCAAUACAAAUCUGCAAUGGAAACCAAUAUAAACCAGUAAAUUUUAAAUAGAAUUUGUCCCAAAACACACUACGUAAUAGAAACCAUUUGGUAAUGGUUUUAUUGGUUAAAAGUUGAUGGUUUGUAAUGGUAUUUGUAGUGGACACCAAUACAAAUUUCUGUGAUGGUUUCUAUUGUUUUUUUGGGGUUUUUUUAAUGGAACCAUCAGAACCAAUACAAAACUGCAAUGGAAACCAUUAUGUGUAAAUCAGGACCAGUACAAAUUUCUAAUGGAAACCUAUACAAACCAAUAAAUCCUAAUGGAAUAUGCCCAAAACACAGUACGUAAUGGAAACCAAUUUGGUAAUGGUUUUAAUAGUUAAUGGCUGAUGGUUUGUAAUUGUUUUGUAAGGGAAGCCAUUAGGAUUUCUGUAAUGGUUUCUAUUGUUUUUUUUCAGCAGGGGAAAGGAGGCAGACACAGGAUAAAAAAAAAUAUAAUUAAAGCUUCCAGAAGUGGCCUGAUCUCCACUUUCCUCGCUGCAGAGCUGGAAAAUAAGACCUGGCUCAGGCUGAGGACGAGUACCAGAUCAUAGGCGGGAUCUAGACCUCUGAAGUAGAACAGCUGAAGAGAGAAAAUCUGGAGCAGGACAUGCUGCCUAGACAAGGCCACAUUCGCAGGCAUUUUAAAUCAUCCACAAGCUGGGUGAAUGAGGAUUUGGCGUUUUGUAUGAAGGGACACAGAUUGACUUAAGGUUGAUGUGAAAUUUGUAAUGAAGACAUCAAACAUCAUGGUAUCAGAGUUUGCUGUGGAAGCUACAAACUACAAAAUAAACACUACCCCUCAGAAGGGAGUACAGUACACUGGCACAAGUGAGACAUGGGAGGAAAAAAGCCCAGAACGAUGCAAGACCGUCCCAUUUGAGAAUUUCUGUGGUUGUAAACAGAAAGACUUCAACAUCAGAGACUGAUCCGCAAGAGUCCGCAGCCACCUUCAAUAGUACCUACCUGAAAGACAACAAUGAGACCGUCACAUGCCCAUGCUUCAGCCAUUUUGCGUGUCCAUUGUAUGGAGCCACUGGGGACAAAGUUCACACCGUCACCAUCCACCUGCUGGUUGACAAAAAUUGCAGCUCUGUGUAUGUCAAGCCAAACAUUUGAGUAAGAACCCUCUACUUGGCCAUGGCCAGAUUGUAUGUCAGACGACUGUUUUGUAAAAGUUUUAAUAUUAUGCUUAUUUCUGUAAUCACUUGUGUGAGUUUGUUUGCAUGCGUGUUUCCACAGUGUUUUAUUUUUCCCCUUCCCCAUUGGUGUUUCCUUUCAUGGACUGGUGUCGUGUGUGGGUUGUUGUGUGUGGUGUUUUGUGUUUUUUUUUUUUUGUUACUAGAAAAGCUAGUUCAUGCAUUCAUGAUCUCUAGCCUGGACUAGUGUUGUCUCGGUACCAAUUUCGGUACCAAAGCAAAACACAAAAACAUGCUAAUUAAAAAACAUUAUUUUUAUUAAUAAAGUUAAACAAAAAUAAACUGUACAAAAAUUAAUGCCAUUCUUUAUGCUUAUUUAAAAUUGUUUCAAGUUUUUCCACAUAAUAAAAGUAUGAAAAAAGAUAAACAAGUUUCCCCCAAAAGUUUGUCAUAUUUCUGCUAACAAACAAUGGUACACUGUUGUCUGUUUUAGAGUUUGUUGGUGCUUCAUGAUCUUCCUCAGCCUGCAGCUGUAAAAGAAAAAUAUAAUAUACUUAAGUAAAGCAAUGGGCUGAGUCUGAUCAAAUGCAAUGUUAUAUUUUAGCUGUUGUCAAUAAUCUAAUAUUUCAGUAAAUAACAAACUUCAAUUUUCAUGACAAAUUUAGAUUAUAUAUAUUUUAAGACAAGUGUAUAUCAAAUAGAAGGAAACUGUAGUAUUAAAAACACUUUACAAUAAGAUUCCAUUUGUUAGAUUA